Molecule: ribosomal RNA, 792 nt
Filed under: uncultured archaeon
Lineage: Archaea
Description: bacterial SSU rRNA
Rfam family: Archaeal small subunit ribosomal RNA
Source: RNAcentral
ACGGCUCAGUAACACGUGGACAACCUACCCUGAGGUCGGGGAUAAACCCGGGAAACUGGGUAUAAUACCCGAUAGAUCUAGAUUGCUAGAAUGCUUUUAGGUCUAAAGUUCCGACGCCUCAGGAUGGGUCUGCGGCCUAUCAGGGUAGUAGUGGGUGUAAAGUACCUACUAGCCUACGACGGGUACGGGUUGUGAGAGCAAGAGCCCGGAGAUGGAUUCUGAGACACGAAUCCAGGCCCUACGGGGUGCAGCAGGCGCGAAACCUUUACAAUGCUGGCAACAGCGAUAAGGGGACCUCGAGUGCUACGAUACAAUCGUGGCUGUCUAGUUGCCUAAAAAGCAAUUGAUAGCAAGGGCCGGGCAAGACCGGUGCCAGCCGCCGCGGUAACACCGGCGGCUCGAGUGGUAACCGCUAUUAUUGGGUCUAAAGGGUCUGUAGCCGGCUUAGUUAGUCUCUUGAGAAAUCUGGCCGCUCAACGGUCAGGCGUUCAGGGGAUACUGCUAAAGCUCGAGACCGGGAGAGGUGAGAGGUACUUCAGGGGUAGGGGUGAAAUCUUGUAAUCCUUGAAGGACCACCAGUGGCGAAGGCGUCUCACCAGAACGGAUCUGACGGCAAGGGACGAAAGCUAGGGGCACGAACCGGAUUAGAUACCCGGGUAGUCCUAGCCGUAAACGAUACUCGCUAGGUGUCGGCCACGGUGCGACCGUGGUCGGUGCCGUAGGGAAGCCGUGAAGCGAGCCACCUGGGAAGUACGGCCGCAAGGCUGAAACUUAAAGGAAUUGGCGGGGGAG